GCGCCGGUAGUGUAAGGCGUAACAUGGCUGCCCGGAAAACAGAAGAUGCGGGUUAGAGUUCCGCCUGGCGCA
Heligmosomoides polygyrus is the source of this 72-nucleotide non-coding RNA. NCBI's taxonomy places the organism in Eukaryota, Metazoa, Nematoda, Chromadorea, Rhabditida, Heligmosomidae. The record is from Rfam.